GAUGAAGAACGCAGCGAAAUGCGAUACUUGGUGUGAAUUGCAGAAUCCCGUGAACCAUCGAGUCUUUGAACGCAAGUUGCGCCCGAAGCCAUUAGGCCGAGGGCACGCCUGCCUGGGUGUCACACGUCGUUGCCCCCCCAUCUACUCCUUCGGGAUUGCGGGGGGCGGAUGAUGGCCUCCCGUGCGCCUCGUCGCGCGGUUGGCAUAAAUGCCAAGUCCUCGGCGACGCACGCCACGACAAUCGGUGGUUGCGAAACCUCGGUUGCCCGUCGUGUGCGGUCGUCGCGCAUCGAGGGCUCGAAAAAAUUGCCGGGCUCCGGCUCGGCUUUCAACGCGACCCCAGGUCAGGCGGGGUUACCCGCUGAAUUUAAGCAUAUCAAUAGCGGAGGA
Molecule: unclassified non-coding RNA, 390 nt
Filed under: soil metagenome
Description: partial contains 5.8S ribosomal RNA, internal transcribed spacer 2, and large subunit ribosomal RNA
Rfam family: 5.8S ribosomal RNA (bases 1-122)
Source: RNAcentral